This 468-nucleotide ribosomal RNA is filed under the name uncultured bacterium. RNAcentral's name for it is "partial 16S ribosomal RNA". It matches the Rfam family "Bacterial small subunit ribosomal RNA", at positions 28 to 507 of the family's 1533-position model. The record is from RNAcentral.
GACGAACGCUGGCGGCGUGCUUAACACAUGCAAGUCGAACGGAAAGGCCCUGCUUUUGUGGGGUGCUCGAGUGGCGAACGGGUGAGUAACACGUGAGUAACCUGCCCUUGACUUUGGGAUAACUUCAGGAAACUGGGGCUAAUACCGGAUAGGAGCUCCUGCUGCAUGGUGGGGGUUGGAAAGUUUCGGCGGUUGGGGAUGGACUCGCGGCUUAUCAGCUUGUUGGUGGGGUAGUGGCUUACCAAGGCUUUGACGGGUAGCCGGCCUGAGAGGGUGACCGGCCACAUUGGGACUGAGAUACGGCCCAGACUCCUACGGGAGGCAGCAGUGGGGAAUAUUGCACAAUGGGCGGAAGCCUGAGGCAGCAACGCCGCGUGCGGGAUGACGGCCUUCGGGUUGUAAACCGCUUUCGCCUGGGACGAAGCGUGAGUGACGGUAAUGGGUAAAGAAGCACCGGCUAACUACGUG